UACGUAGGGUGCGAGCGUUAAUCGGAAUUACUGGGCGUAAAGCGUGCGCAGGCGGUUGGCAAAGUCAGCUGUGAAAGCCCCGGGCUCAACCUGGGAAUGGCGGUUGAAACUAGUCGACUAGAAUCUGGCAGAGGGGGGUGGAAUUCCACGUGUAGCAGUGGAAAUGCGUAGAGAUGUGGAGGAACACCGAUGGCGAAGGCAGCCCCCUGG
This 210-nucleotide ribosomal RNA is filed under the name uncultured bacterium. RNAcentral's name for it is "partial 16S ribosomal RNA". It matches the Rfam family "Bacterial small subunit ribosomal RNA", at positions 524 to 732 of the family's 1533-position model. The record is from RNAcentral.